RNAcentral lists this RNase P RNA (334 nucleotides) under Bacteroidales bacterium. RNAcentral describes it as "RNase P RNA component class A". It matches the Rfam family "Bacterial RNase P class A". Rfam says of the family: Ribonuclease P (RNase P) is a ubiquitous endoribonuclease, found in archaea, bacteria and eukarya as well as chloroplasts and mitochondria. Its best characterised activity is the generation of mature 5'-ends of tRNAs by cleaving the 5'-leader elements of precursor-tRNAs. The record is from RNAcentral. Lineage: Bacteria; Pseudomonadati; Bacteroidota; Bacteroidia; Bacteroidales.
UAAGCAAGUCGUUCUAUCGUUCUCAAAUGUAUUUGAGGAAGGAAAGUCCGGGCAACACAGAGCACCACACUUCUGAAAAGAAGAUGUCUGAAAGGGUAUAGUAGCGGAACAGAAAAUAACCGUCCGCCAGCCGGCGGAUAAGGGUGAAAAGGUGAGGUAAGAGCUCACCGGUGUGCCGGGUGACCGGUACAGCCGUUCGCCUUGUGGGUUGAAAGACCACAUAUACCGGCAAUUGAGGGUUGCUCGCCCGAUGCCGGGGGGUAGGUCGAUCAGAUAAAUGAUAGAAUCUCCGCAGUGCGGUUAACAGAACCUGGCUUACAGACUUGCUGUUUUA